RNAcentral lists this ribosomal RNA (233 nucleotides) under uncultured bacterium. RNAcentral's name for it is "partial 16S ribosomal RNA". It matches the Rfam family "Bacterial small subunit ribosomal RNA", at positions 794 to 1023 of the family's 1533-position model. The record is from RNAcentral.
UCCACGCUGUAAACGAUGGGCACUAGCUAUUGGCAGUGUCGACCCUGCCAGUGGCGAAGCUAACGCGUUAAGUGCCCCGCCUGGGAAGUACGCCGGCAACGGUGAAACUCAAAGGAAUAGACGGGGGCUCACACAAGCGGUGGAUCAUGUGGCUUAAUUCGAUAAUAACCGAAGAACCUUACCAGGGCUUGACAUGCUAGUGAAACCCUGCCGAAAGGUGGGGACUCCACACG